UACGGGGGGAGCAAGCGUUGUUCGGAUUUACUGGGCGUAAAGGGCGCGUAGGCGGCCAGCGCAAGUCAGUUGUGAAAUCUCCGGGCUUAACUCGGAACGGUCAACUGAUACUGCGCGGCUAGAGUGCAGAAGGGGCAACUGGAAUUCUCGGUGUAGCGGUGAAAUGCGUAGAUAUCGAGAGGAACACCUGCGGCGAAGGCGGGUUGCUGGGCUGACACUGACGCUGAUGCGCGAAAGCCAGGGAGCGAACGGG
RNAcentral lists this ribosomal RNA (253 nucleotides) under uncultured bacterium. Its description in RNAcentral is "partial 16S ribosomal RNA". It matches the Rfam family "Bacterial small subunit ribosomal RNA", at positions 524 to 776 of the family's 1533-position model. The record is from RNAcentral.